This is a non-coding RNA of Marmota flaviventris (yellow-bellied marmot), 2509 nucleotides long. Lineage: Eukaryota; Metazoa; Chordata; Mammalia; Rodentia; Sciuridae. The record is from RefSeq and is a predicted model, not a curated record.
GAGAGGCCUGCUGUGCUCUGGCCAGCACAGUCUAGCUGAGUCUGCACUGGAGCAUCUCCGGCCUGUUUCUGGAGGUUGUAGCGGCUUCCUGGGACCUGCAGGGAGAGCUGAUCCAGCUGCUUCUCCCCAGUUUGAGCAAACUGCUUACAGGCAAGUUACCCGAGACACAGUGCACGAGGCCAGUAAAUGACCCCAGAGUGGCUCUAAGCAUUCACGUGUAAGGAUCACAUACAUUUCCUUGAAAUCAAAAGCUAGAGAUGCCAAGGCCUAGUGAAGAAGGUGAGUGGACAGUCAGACAGCGAGCUGAAUGCCAGGCCUCUGUGCACACGGCUCACCACUCUGGGAAUGUGGAGGGAAGUUCUUGAAGGAAGGUGAGAGGACUCUGCAGUGGGCAUGCAGAGAAAGCCAACAGGUGGCCCUCUUCUCGCUCUGAAGACUCAGGUGAGGAGGUUGAGAUCGGGUGGCCCCUGGAGGCUGCUCAGGCGUCUGAGGAAAGGCGGGUUGCGCAGCGUCUCGGCACAGGCGAGGCAGCGAGAGGUGGUGUGGAAGCCGCAGUGCACCGUCCAGGAGACCAGCUGUCGCACUGAACAAGGAUUCUCAGUGUGGACACGUAGGCCGCGUUGGAAGAGGCUGCUGAGGACUUCUGUGGCUCAAUGGGGUCCAUGCCUGCCUUCCAAGCUUCCAAGGACAGGCUGACCCUUAUCAAAGGAUGAUGUAGUGGGUGGCUCUAAGUCUAGGCCAGUGCUCACUGACCACCUGGAAAUCCAGGGCCCGAGGGACAGCAUUGGAGCCACCGUGUCUGGUUCUGGGAAUGGAGCUUGGGCCUGGAUGGCAGCCUGAUUCCAACAGAGAAUCCUGGUCCCCAAGAGCUCUGGUGGAGAGGGACACGGGGCCCAUGUUGUGUCCAGGCCUGCUGGCCCAGCACCCCUCUGCACCCGGGGACUGGGAGUCAUGCUGACUUCACGACUUCUUGUUUAAGAAGCGUGUUCUGUAGGGCUGUGAGUGCCCUUGGUGAUUCCUCCUCUGAUCCGGGCAGUUGAAAACCUGGAAGGGUUCCUGUUCCGGAUGCCAGUAAGAACAUUCAUGGUCAGGGGAGGGGGGCAAGAUCCCUACACUAACGGGAAGAAGUUGAUCCCGACUCUCACGGGGACUUUGGGGGGCUCAGGACGGCGGUGGAGAAGGAACUGCGCAGGCGGUACACGCGGCAAGAGGCCCAGACUGAGAAGUGGAGCCUGAGGACUGUCUGGGCCCCUGGCCAGCACCUUGGUUACACAGAACCUUGCAAAGGCAAGGGUAAGGCAUACCAAGCUCUCGAUCCACAGAAAGUGCGAGUGUCCUGUCCUGCGGCCACUGAGAGGCCUGGGGAAGGCCCUCCUUCCGUUCCUUUGUGGGUGUCGUGGUUGGAUGCGUCCCCUGGCAGGUAUGCUGUGGAUCUAGCCCUCGGUACCGUGAACGUGAGCUGGUUUGGAAGAAGGGGAGUCUCAGAUGCCGUGGUCAGGACUGGGGCCGUCCUGGGGCAGGGUGAGCCCUGAUCCACAUGCCUGGGGCCCUUUAGAGAGGAGAUGAGGAUGCAGCCACACGAGGGUGGGGUGGGGGAAGGCCGUGCCAGGUGGGGGCUAACUCGAGUGAUGGCACUGGGAGUGGAGGGGACCAGCACUGCCUGCCCCCACCUGGACUUGGGACCUCGGUCGACUGUGAGAGGGCAGAUUCUGUUGCUGGAACCCCCACCCCACUCGGGCACUGUGCUGUGGCGGCCCUGGGAGACUGGCCAUAUCUGGUGAGGGCCAUAUCUAUUUCAAUGUAUGGCAGGAAGCAGCAAGUGGACAUGUUUGGAAAAGGCAGGCCACCAGAGACACCCCAACUGUGUAACAAUGUGUGCUCCUGGUGACUAACCUAGUUCCUGAGAAAGGCGUCAACCCUUCUUAAGGAUCUGAGCACCUCUUAAAGGCCCACGACCACUCGGCAGUCUGUUGACCAUACGCCCUGUGUCUCGAAGCGGGCAAGGCAGGUCCAACCACAGCGCCUGUGUAACGGCACUUAAUUAAGAAAUCUUAAUUCAGCUUCUCCAGAAACCCUUGCCAUUAUUGUUCUUAGACUCUCAGCAAAAAUUUCUGCAAAAGGAUUUUCAGGCGGGGCGGGGGUGUUUGCAGAAGCAGAGUGUGAUAGGAGAGACCAACCCAAGCCUUCACAGAGGACUUUCAAAAGACACUAGUUAGGUCCAGCUGGGGUGGGGGAGCUCUCCCUUCCCCAAGCACUGAUUUUCACAGAGAGCGACCUUGGGGGUUAUUUUUGUAGAACCUGCCCUGAGUUGGAUGCCCAGAAGAGUGGGAAAAAACUACUAUUAUGUGGAUUUCUGCAGAUUGUGAGCCUCUGAAUUCCUCCCCCCAACACACUGGGUAUAAAGUUCCAAAACUUUCUGAACUCUGGGUUCAGAGGGAUUGAAUGAUUGUGGCGAAAGCCUUUUUCCCCUCUGGACCUGGCUGCAGCCAAUAAACCUGCUUCCUGCCAA